Molecule: ribosomal RNA, 255 nt
Filed under: uncultured bacterium
Lineage: Bacteria
Description: partial small subunit ribosomal RNA
Rfam family: Bacterial small subunit ribosomal RNA
Source: RNAcentral
AGGACGAACGCUGGCGGCGUGCUUAACACAUGCAAGUCGAGCGGAAAGGCCCUUCGGGGUACUCGAGCGGCGAACGGGUGAGUAACACGUGAGUAACCUGCCCUGGACUUUGGGAUAACCCUCGGAAACGGGGGCUAAUACCGGAUACGACGCACUCUCGCAUGGGAUGUGUGUGGAAAGUUUUUUCGGUUUGGGAUGGGCUCGCGGACUAUCAGCUUGUUGGUGGGGUGAUGGCCUACCAAGGCGACGACGGUU